This 58-nucleotide transfer RNA is filed under the name Agama boensis. Its description in RNAcentral is "tRNA-Ser". The record is from RNAcentral. Lineage: Eukaryota; Metazoa; Chordata; Lepidosauria; Squamata; Agamidae.
GAGAUUUAAUACAUGAACUGCUAAAUCAUCACACCGAACAUAAACACUCGGACUUCUC